RNAcentral lists this ribosomal RNA (163 nucleotides) under Shigella sonnei. RNAcentral's name for it is "partial 16S ribosomal RNA". It matches the Rfam family "Bacterial small subunit ribosomal RNA", at positions 304 to 466 of the family's 1533-position model. The record is from RNAcentral. Lineage: Bacteria; Pseudomonadati; Pseudomonadota; Gammaproteobacteria; Enterobacterales; Enterobacteriaceae.
CCAGCCACACUGGAACUGAGACACGGUCCAGACUCCUACGGGAGGCAGCAGUGGGGAAUAUUGCACAAUGGGCGCAAGCCUGAUGCAGCCAUGCCGCGUGUAUGAAGAAGGCCUUCGGGUUGUAAAGUACUUUCAGCGGGGAGGAAGGGAGUAAAGUUAAUAC